UACGUAGGGUGCGAGCGUCAAUCGGAAUUACUGGGCGUAAAGCGUGCGCAGGCGGUUUUGUAAGUCUGUCGUGAAAUCCCCGGGCUUAACCUGGGAAUGGCGAUGGAGACUGCAAGGCUAGAAUCUGGCAGAGGGGGGUAGAAUUCCACGUGUAGCAGUGAAAUGCGUAGAGAUGUGGAGGAACACCGAUGGCGAAGGCAGCCCCCUGGGCUAAGAUUGACGCUCAUGCACGAAAGCGUGGGGAGCAAACAGG
Molecule: ribosomal RNA, 253 nt
Filed under: uncultured bacterium
Lineage: Bacteria
Description: partial 16S ribosomal RNA
Rfam family: Bacterial small subunit ribosomal RNA
Source: RNAcentral